GUACUGGAUUUUAAAUAAAUUCACAAGUCCUAUGUAUAGACAAUUUAAUACUCAUGAAUUCAUUCAAGAAAUACGAUAGACAUGCUCAUGAAGGAAGUAACAUCUUAUAGAAAAUAUAGUAUGUGAUCUACUUGCAGUUAAGUAAAGUGAUAAGUUGAAUACCUCUGAGACUUGACAUUUCAGUUGAUGUACCUUUCUUGUACUGAUCAAGUCCAGUGGUUGUUGGCAUAAGUCUUGGCAGGUCUAGAAUCUUCCAAAAUGCGCAUAUUCAAAAGAUCAUUGACUUUACUUUUAUUGCCAUCAUUCUUUAGGCUAACUAGUAGACCAUGAAGAAUUGCAACUUUCCAACAAACUCAUCAUAUCACUAAUCUGCAUUCACUUAGCAAUUAUCUUGCACAAGUGACGUUAGUCCACAUAUAAUAUAAUCAUG
Molecule: long non-coding RNA, 430 nt
Filed under: Daucus carota (carrot)
Lineage: Eukaryota; Viridiplantae; Streptophyta; Magnoliopsida; Apiales; Apiaceae
Description: long non-coding RNA (DCAR_LNC002078)
Source: RNAcentral